CGCGUAAGAAUCUACCUUUAGGAGGGGGAUAACAGUUGGAAACGACUGCUAAUUCCCCAUAUGCUGAGGAGUGAAAUGGUGAAUAACCGCCUAGAGAUGAGCUUGCGUCUGAUUAGCUAGUUGGUAAGGUAAUGGCUUACCAAGGCGAUGAUCAGUAGCUGGUCUGAGAGGAUGAUCAGCCACACUGGGACUGAGACACGGCCCAGACUCCUACGGGAGGCAGCAGUGAGGAAUUUUCCGCAAUGGGCGAAAGCCUGACGGAGCAAUACCGCGUGGAGGAUGACGGCCUGUGGGUCUUAA
Molecule: ribosomal RNA, 300 nt
Filed under: uncultured cyanobacterium
Lineage: Bacteria; Bacillati; Cyanobacteriota
Description: bacterial SSU rRNA
Rfam family: Bacterial small subunit ribosomal RNA
Source: RNAcentral